AGACUUUGAUCAUGGCUCAGGACGAACGCUGGCGGCGUGCUUAACACAUGCAAGUCGAACGGUCUACCUCGACAGAAACCUUCGGGUUGAAGACGAGAUCUAGAUAGUGGCGGACGGGUGAGUAACACGUGAAUAAUCUAUCCUCAAGUUUGGGAUAACCUGGCGAAAGUCGGGCUAAUCCGAGGUAAGCUGAGAGUGUGGCAUCACACAAUCAGAAAAGGUGGCAUUGCCAUCGUUUGAGGAGGAGUUCGCGGUAGAUUAGCUAGCUGGUGAGGUAACGGCUCACCAGGGCAACAAUCUAUAGCUGGUCUGAGAGGACGAUCAGUCACACUGGAACUGAGACACGGUCCAGACUCCUACGGGAGGCAGCAGUGGGGAAUCUUCCACAAUGGGCGCAAGCCUGAUGGAGCAACGCCGCGUGAAUGAAGAAGGCCUUAGGGUCGUAAAGUUCUGUCCUUAGGGAGGAACCGUGGGUAUAGCAAAUGAUACCCACCUGACGGUACCCUUUGGAGGAAGCACUGGCUAACUACGUGCCAGCAGCCGCGG
This 546-nucleotide ribosomal RNA is filed under the name uncultured bacterium. RNAcentral's name for it is "bacterial SSU rRNA". It matches the Rfam family "Bacterial small subunit ribosomal RNA", at positions 8 to 520 of the family's 1533-position model. The record is from RNAcentral.